GUGAACGCCUGCGGUCGUCCCUAACCAUGCCAGGCGAACGGCAAGACAGCAAUACUUUCCUCUUACAGGCGGCGAGCGGAGGAGGGGUGAGGAAUACAUCGGCAUCUACUUUUUCGUGGGGUAUCACGCAGGGAAACUUACGCUCAUACCGCAUAUGACCUACGGGUGUAAGCAGAGGAUCUUCGGACCUUCAGCGAUUGAAUGAUCCGAUGUCGGAUUAGCUAGUUGGCGGGGUAAAGGCCCACCAAGGCGACGAUCCGUAGCUGGUCUGAGAGGGUGAUCAGCCACACUGGAACUGAGACACGGUCCAGACUCCUACGGGAGGCAGCAGUGGGGAAUAUUGGACAAUGGGCGCAAGCCUGAUCCAGCCAUGCCGCGUGAGUGAAGAAGGCCUUCGGGUUGUAAAGCCCUUUUGUUGGGGAAGAAAAGCAGCAAGUUAAUACCCCGCUGUUCUGACGGUACCCAAAGAAUAAGCACCGGCUAACUUCGUG
This 491-nucleotide ribosomal RNA is filed under the name uncultured bacterium. RNAcentral's name for it is "partial 16S ribosomal RNA". It matches the Rfam family "Bacterial small subunit ribosomal RNA", at positions 29 to 507 of the family's 1533-position model. The record is from RNAcentral.